Non-coding RNA from Paramisgurnus dabryanus, 5641 nucleotides. The record is from RefSeq and is a predicted model, not a curated record. NCBI's taxonomy places the organism in Eukaryota, Metazoa, Chordata, Actinopteri, Cypriniformes, Cobitidae.
CUAAAAGCACAGACAACGGCAAGAAAUCCGAGAUUUUCCCCGGAUGGAAACUGUUGUCGUUUCUGCGCGUGACACAUUCGCUGUGAUGAUCUGUACGUGUGAUAAAACCUUAGAUGGGAACAGUAUGAUCAAAUUAGGUGAUCAGCCCAGGUGAGGUGGCAUGGUCCGUACAGAUAUGGAGGUGGGAAUUCUGCCUGUUGAGCUUUGGCGUCUCAUCCUGGCAUAUCUGCCUCUCCCAGACUUGGGCCGCUGUUGUCUUGUGUGCAGAGCCUGGCGUGAACUCAUCCUGAGUUUGGACAGCACUCGCUGGCGCCAGCUCUGUCUGGGAUGCCCAGAAUGUCGCCACCCGAACUGGCCCCGUCGGCCCCACCUUCCUCCGCCGUCCUGGAGGGAGGCUCUUCGUCACCAUGCUCUUGCCAGUCGUACCUGGACUCAGAAUGGUUCGGAACUCCACUCGUCUGCCUGCCUCCAUCUUUUCCGCCGAAGGAAAGAUCGCAGGGUUUGGCACGUUGGCACAAUGGCAGGAGGUGGAUACGAGACGCUCAGGGGGGCACUGGCUGUGGCAGGGCCGUAUGAUAAGCUGGUGCUUCAUGCCGGUGUGUAUGAGGAACAGGUGGAAGUGGCCCUCAAAGUGCCAGUGGAGAUUGUCGGAAUGGGGAAGUUGGGGGACGUGUCGUUAUUGGUGUGUUUUGACCAGCAGUGCCCGACAGCAAGACUGUGCAAUUUAGUGUUCAUGCCAGCGUGGUUUUCACCUGUGGUUUAUAAGACAUCCUCAGGUCAUGUCCAGUUGGACAACUGUAAUUUUGAGGGCUGUCAGCUGCAUAUUAGGGGGCCAGGAACGUGUCAGGCUCGCUUCUGCUCCUUUGCCCAGGGCAGCUCUGCCCACUUUCUGGGUGUGGCCAUCAGUUUGAUGGACAGCUGUGAAUUCUCAGGGGGAGAUUCUGCGUCUGUCACUGUGGAAGGUGCUCCGGUCUCUGAACGCAACUGGGCCUUCAAGCACCUGGUCGCCUUGGCCAAGACCUUUACAGUAAUGCCUACUAAUGGGUUUACAGAACGAACCAAACCAGAGGGCAAAGACAGCACAGGAGCUGAUAGUCCUGGAGACAGAACCUUAAAAGGAGUAAGCACAACGGAGGACUGGAAUAAAGAGGAAGUAGAUUGGGAAACCAGUUGGACGAAGCAAAAAAAAGUAGAUAAUCUUAUUCCAGGUCAGGAUGGCACAGUUAUCGAUGAAGAUGGUAUGGAAACAUCGAGCGACUCCAGCGAGGAAGAAGAUGAGAAAGACAUCGAGAAAAGCACAGCCUUUAAACUUUCGUACGAGAAUCACGGACUAGCGCAUCUCUCCAAACCGCAUAUGGCUGAUUCAUCUGCAUUUCCUGCGCUGCUGGAUCUAUCCGCAGAGCUGCAGAGGGAUGCGGAGGCACGGGAAUUGGUGGCAUCAGUUCAAGGCUGCCUGCUGCGUUGCUGUCUGCUGCGGGAUGGAAAAGGUGGCGUGCACCUGUGCAAUCACGGUCAGGCUCGCCUGGAGGCCAACGUUUUCAGAGGCCUUAACUACGCAGUGCGCUGCAUCCAGUACGCAAAAAUGGUGAUGUUGCGUAAUGAAGUGUGUGGGUGCAAGGCGUCUGGUGUGUUCCUGCGACUCUCUGCUCAAGGUCUCAUUGCCGAGAACAACAUCCACUCAAACGGAGAGGCGGGAUUAGACAUCCGUAAAGGGGCCAACCCUGUCAUACUGUGUAACAGAAUCCACAGCGGCCUGCGUUCCGGGAUCGUUGUCCUGGGCAACGGGAGAGGUUCUAUUCGAAGCAACCAGAUCUAUGGGAAUAAGGAAGCUGGCGUCUAUAUUCUUUUUAACGGGAAUCCUGUGGUCAGUGGGAAUCACAUUUUCCAUGGACUUGCAGCAGGCAUCGCUGUGAAUGAAAACGGAAGAGGACUGAUCUCUGACAACGUUAUUAGGCAGAACCAAUGGGGAGGUGCUGACAUCCGUCGAGGAGGAGAUCCAGUCCUGCGCAAUAACUUCAUCUGCUAUGGAUAUUCAGAUGGCGUGGUGGUGGGAGAGAGAGGGAGGGGUCUCAUUGAAGGCAACCACAUAUAUGGUAACAGAGGCUGUGGGGUAUGGGUCAUGUCAUCCAGUCUACCUCAGCUCACCGGGAACUACAUUAACCAUAACCGUAUGUACGGGCUUGCCGUCUUCUGCCGGAAGGACACGGAGUCGACAUUGAGCAGAGACGGCUAUCGCUCUUUACAGGAGAGAGGAGUGGCGGCCGGAGAACGGGACAGAGGAGGGCCGGAGAAUUUCAAUGAGGAAGGAGAAUUGAUGGCGUGGGAAAGCGACAUCGACAGCGAGGACGAACGCUUUUCCUCUCGACGACCAAUCACAGUUGCCCUAGUGGAAAACAACUGCAUGAGCCACAAUGGAGCAGUUGGAGUCUAUGUAAAAAGCAGCGAGCCUCUGAAUGUGGUGGCUAACAUGGUCAACAAUAACAGAGGAGCGGGAGUGUCAAUCAUUCAGAGCGCUCAGCUGACGCGAUUAGUCGGCAACUGUGUUCUCGGCAAUGGCUGGAUGGGCGUAACCGUGGACAGAGAAAGCAGGGUGGAGCUCCGUGGCAAUGGUGUCUAUGGCAAUGGCUGCCAUGGCGUCUGUUUCCGAGGCGAUGGUCUGAUUAUGGAAAAUGAUGUUGUUGGAAAUAAUUCCGUUGGAAUACGAGUGAUGGACAACGCGGAUGUUAAAGUAUUGAGGAAUCGCGUUCAGGCAUUGCGGGGUUAUGGGAUUACGGUGAAGGAGCGGGUACGAGGUGUGGUGCAGGAAAACCUGGUUUAUCAAGGACACCCUACAAAUACUAAAGCCCCCAUACGAACCAGUCCACAAAACCUGGAGUGUGUCGUACUUAACAACUCUCUGGUCACACCAAGAUCACAAACCCUUUGGGCUUUGGAAAAUCCACCUCCUCGUCCUCACAAUAGUAACCCUUCCAGUGUCCCACCCUCAACAACACACCCCACUCACCUCGCCAUCACAAUGACAAACCGAAUCACUGCCUCUGUAGAAAGUGGUUGCCAUAACAAUGGCAGCAUCUUCUGCUCUAUUCUUUGAAGAACGGGGGAUCACAUCAGAUUUGAUGACAUUUAUAAAACCAAGUCCUCAACAUGACUCCCUAAACCACUUGGAAAUAAAGGAAUGAGUUGGAGUUCUAGGAUCAUGGGGGGCACGAGUUGAUGCCUGGGGCCCAGUUUAAUGACAUUUGACACUACAUUAAUUCUGUGGGCACAAUUUGAUGCACCCUAAACAAGGUAGGGCCACGCACCAAAAGCUCUGAGAACCACGGUGUUAAGAUGAUGAACAAAAGGAUUUUAAAGCAAGACUAAAAUUAAGCCUCAAUUGCGUGACUUUAUUCAAAAGCACUUAGCACUCACUAUAUUAGAAUAUUAUGUUUACCAAAGGUCUUUCUCAAUCGAACUUUUAAGUUUUCCACUUUGAGUGAGAAAUUUCACUUACCCAAAAUGGAAAGUAGGCUGGUUUGGGAUCAUCUUGCUGGAGCACUUACUGUUUGUAUCAGAUCAUCACACAUAAACUGUCUACUUCACUCAACAGUGCACAUUUGUGUUGGGAACCAUAGACUGUCCUAUAUCUCAAUUUUUUGAGACGGGAUUAAACCUUGGAAUUAAGGAACACAUUCAGCAUCUAUUCAAGACACUUGAAAGUCAGAUGGCAGUGAGAGACGUUUCACGUGAUUUUCUAUCUGUUCUCCCAAAAGACGUGGCUGCAAAUAGGAGAUAAACAGGUUCGGUGCUCCCUGGGAAUUCUGGUCAUGCUGCUUGUGCUGUAAUGAAUAAAAACAUCACUUCACUCGCUGGGUACAGUGAUUCAGCCAGUCAGGUGAUGUAAUGCUCAAGUCACAUCAAGAGUGAUACUGAGCCGUUCUGUGAAAAUUUACUGGUGCACUUUACUGCAUUGUUAACCCAGCAUGAACUGACUACAUGUAGAACAGAGGACAAGCAGGAACAGAAGAAACAUCAUCUUAAAAUUGAUUUCACAGACAUAGAGUAAAAGCAAUGAAUAAUUUUUUAACUGUAUAAUAGUGAAGAGGUCAAAUAUUUUGUUAUGCAAUGUUACAGCAGAUUUACUUUUCUUGAGAGCUGGUAGCUGGCUCACUGCUUUAGGUAAAAGGUACACUGUGCCUAAACUAAUCUGAACAGUAGAAUAAUAGAGAUCAUUAUUGUCUGAUGGUUAACUCUUAGUGUGUAUGUAAAUGAUAAGAGAUAAUACUAAACAAUUCAGACUUAAAUGUAUACCUAAGUUAUCUUAAAGCAGUUUUUUUUUUCAAACCUUAUGAAGCCAAGGACCUCCAAAUAUGAUAAAUGUUUUGUAGGGACCCCUACCAAAAUAUACAUACAAUGUGUAAUAAAUAUAUGAUUGGCUACUGCCAGAUAAAUGGGACUGUAAUAAGAAAAACACGCUAGAAAGAUAAAGCAAAUAUAAAUGAUUCUGAAAUGCAUGUAGGAAGAAAAACCUAAACACCUAAUAACUUUUUCUGGGGACCCCUAUAGAAGCUCCUGGAGGUCACUAGACCCAAAUUGGAAAACCCCUUUCUUAAAGUAGUCCAGUAAAACUAAUGCUGGGUUGUUGUUUUUUUGAGUCAAUGGCUAUGUUUGAAAGAGUACUAACAUACUAUUUACUAAACACUGCUUAUACUGCCUAAACAUAGUAAAGACAUGAGGUAUUUUUCAUCAUAAUAAUACGGUAAUUAAAUAGUAGCAUAUUGCAGAUGUUGCACCAAAAUUGUGUGAAAACGACACUUUUUCUAGGAUUUGCCUCUGAAAAUAGUUUACCGAGGCAUAAAAGAAAUGCUAAAUUGAUGACCCAUUCAGUUAAAACCCAGCUAAGAUAUUUUUACUUAGUGAUUUAUUGUUUUCUACAUAGUAAAAAAAAAUGUGUUGUUUCAGCUUUAGAAAGUAAGUGUUUCUGCUGCCUUAGAAUGUUGAUUUAAUUCAACGUAAAAAUAUUAAUCAACUUAAGUUGAAUUCAACAUAAAAAAAGAAUUUAAGGAAGCACGUGUUUGUGCUGCCUUGAAAAUCUUAGUUGAAACAAAUAUCUUUUUUUACAUGGAAGAAAAAAGUAUCCUAAAUUACUAACAAAUAUUGAAAUCAAACAUUGAUGCUCCUAAUCCUAUAAUUAAGAUUAUAACACUUUAUCCUGGAUUUCACAGACAGGGUCACAUUUACUCCUAGUUCAUGUUUAGUCAGAGCAUUGCAUUGUGGGAUGCAGCAUGCUCUGUUGUAUUUUAGCAAAUGUAAUAGAAGGUCAUCAAUUGUAUGCAUACCGAGAAUUUUUAUACAGUGCAAACAUGCUAGUACACGAAUAGUGUGGUAGUAUACUACACAAACAUAGUCCUGUCUAAAUAGAUUUUCUACCAAAACAUUUCAGGAGCUGAAUUUAAACCUCAAUAAACAAGUUGAUUUGCAGCAGGCUGCUACUGUUUUUGUAACAUUUACAGUUGUUUGAUUGUAAAGUGCAAUAUGUAUCUACUAAAAUGUGCCUAUUAUGUUUUGUUGUUUUUUUACCUAUGUGUAGUACAAAUAUAAUCUUUCUAUAACUGCAAAUCUUUUAAUUUCCCCAACACUUAUUAUUUAUCUGUAAUUUGCA